AAAAUGGUUCCCAAAUUCUGGUUACUCUGGACACUCAGUGUUAAACUUGGUGAGGACAACAUAUUGUCAGUCUCCAGAAGGGACAUUCACCCAACAAGAAACCAGGCUAAUAAUUCAGCUGGGAAAAUUCUCACUUCCUGUGGUGAACAAUCCUGUUUAAAUCACUGGCCGGUGGUGCUUCAGUGCAUGGUGCCUGUGAAUCCCCUGCAGAUGUUUUCAAAAUGCAAAUCCCGACUCAAGAUCAGAUGGAGGCUGAUACUGUGCAUGUGUGACAAGCUCAACAGGACGCCAGUGGCGCUGGUCUGAGUAGUGAAAUAAUAGAUCCACAAUGGACUUAGAAACAAAAGGAGAGAAGUCCUGACGUCUCUGAAUAUUUUCAACCAAUUAAUAUGUAUUGUGCACCAACUAUGCACAAAAUAUAAUUUGCAGUCUUUUAAGAAAGAAUAGGCCAUUGCCAGGCAGUUUUAAAUGUGAGGUCUGGGGCGCCUGGGUGGCACAGCAGUUAAGCGUCUGUCUUCGGCUCAGGGCGUGAUCCCCGCGUUGUGGGAUCGAGCCCCACAUCAGGCUCCUCCACUAUGAGCCUGCUUCUUCCUCUCCCACUCCCCCUGCUUGUGUUCCCUCUCUCGCUGGCUGUCUCUAUCUCUGUCG
This 648-nucleotide long non-coding RNA is filed under the name Ailuropoda melanoleuca (giant panda). RNAcentral's name for it is "lncRNA (ENSAMEG00000029557.1)". The record is from RNAcentral. Lineage: Eukaryota; Metazoa; Chordata; Mammalia; Carnivora; Ursidae.